RNAcentral lists this ribosomal RNA (2099 nucleotides) under Fannia canicularis (little house fly). RNAcentral describes it as "eukaryotic LSU rRNA". It matches the Rfam family "Eukaryotic large subunit ribosomal RNA", at positions 98 to 1888 of the family's 3401-position model. Lineage: Eukaryota; Metazoa; Arthropoda; Insecta; Diptera; Fanniidae. The record is from RNAcentral.
AAAGAAACAGUUCAGCACUAAGUCACUUUGUCAUUUGGCAAAUGUGAGAUGCAGUGUAUGGAAUGUCCAAUUUCUAGUAUGAGAAAUUAACGAUUUAAGUCCUUCUUAAAUGAGCCCAUUUACCCAAAGAGGGUGCCAGGCCCGUAUAACGUUAAUGAUUACUAGAGGAUAUUUCCGAAGAGUCGUGUUGCUUGAUAGUGCAGCACUAAGUGGGUGGUAAACUCCAUCUAAAACUAAAUAUAACCAUGAGACCGAUAGUAAACAAGUACCGUGAGGGAAAGUUGAAAAGAACUCUGAAUAGAGAGUUAAAUAGUACGUGAAACUGCUUAGAGGUUAAGCCCGAUGAACCUAAAUAUCCAUUAUGGGAAAUUCAUCAUUAUGAUUGUAAUAAUUUUAUAUUAUUAUAAUAAUGGUGUGCAUUUUUCCCAUAUAAGGACAUUGUAAUCUAUUAACAUGCAUCAAUUUAUCAAAAGAUCGAUUGCGUAAGUUUAUUCAAAUUAUUUUGCUUGCAAUUUAACAUAGAAUAAAUGCUCUUGAUUGGAUAAAGUGUUGAUAGAUUUAUUAUAUAUAGUGCUUAAAUAUUUUUUUAUUUUAUAAUAGCAUUUUAAUUUAUAAUUUUUAUGCUUAUUAUAUGCACUUAUAUGAUUAACAAUGCGAAAGAUUUAGGAUACCUUCGGGACCCGUCUUGAAACACGGACCAAGGAGUCUAACAUAUUUGCAAGUUAUUGGGAAUUAAAAAACCUAAUAGCGAAAUUAACAUAACUUAUAUAUUGGGAUUAGUUUUUAGUCUAUUUUUUAGUCUAUUAAUUCAAUCCCGGGGCGUUCUAUUCAGUUAUGUAUAAUAAUAUUUAUAUUAUUUAUACCUCUAACUAGAGCGUACCUUGAGCAUAUAUGCUGUGACCCGAAAGAUGGUGAACUAUACUUGAUCAGGUUGAAGUCAGGGGAAACCCUGAUGGAAGACCGAAACAGUUCUGACGUGCAAAUCGAUUGUCAGAAUUGAGUAUAGGGGCGAAAGACCAAUCGAACCAUCUAGUAGCUGGUUCCCUCCGAAGUUUCCCUCAGGAUAGCUGGUGCAUUUAAAAAUUAUGUAAAAUAAUCUUAUCUGGUAAAGCGAAUGAUUAGAGGCCUUAGGGUCGAAACGACCUUAACCUAUUCUCAAACUUUAAAUGGGUAAGAACCUCACCUUUCUUGUUAUGAAGGUUGUGGUUGUGAUAUAAUGUGCCCAGUGGGCCACUUUUGGUAAGCAGAACUGGCGCUGUGGGAUGAACCAAACGUAAUGUUACGGUGCCCAAAUUAACAACUCAUGCAGAUACCAUGAAAGGCGUUGGUUGCUUAAAACAGCAGGACGGUGGACAUGGAAGUCGUAAUCCGCUAAGGAGUGUGUAACAACUCACCUGCCGAAGCAACUAGCCCUUAAAAUGGAUGGCGCUUAAGUUGUAUACCUAUACAUUACCGCUAAAGUAAAUGGUUUAUAUUCAAUUUCGGUUGGAUUUUAAACUUUGAAACUUUAGUGAGUAGGAGGGUACAAUGGUGUGCUUAGAAGUGUUUGGCGUAAGCCUGCAUGGAGCCGCUAUUGGUACAGAUCUUGGGUGGUAGUAGCAAAUAAUCGAAUGAGAUCUUGGAGGACUGAAGUGGAGAAGGGUUUCGUGUGAACAGUGGUUGAUCACGAGUUAGUCGGUCCUAAGUUCAAGGCGAAAGCCGAAAAUUUUCAAGUUAUAAUGAGCGAUCUAAGUUUAUCCUAGUUUCUAGUAAUUAAACACUUGAAUAAUUUUGAACGAAAGGGAAUACGGUUCCAAUUCCGUAACCUGUUGAGUAUCCGUUUGUUAAAAAUAUGGGCCUUGUGCUCAUCCUGGCAACAGGAACGACCAUAAAGAAGCCGUCGAGAGAUAUCGGAAGAGUUUUCUUUUCUGUUUUAUAGUCGUACUACCAUGGAAGUCUUUCGAAGAGAGAUAUGGUAGAUGGACUAGAAGAGCAUGACAUUUACUGUUGUGUCGAUAUUUUCUCCUCGGACCUUGAAAAUUUAUGGUGGGGUCACGCAAACUUCUCAACAGGCCGUACCAAUAUCCGCAGCUGGUCUCCAAGGUGAAGAGUCUCUAGUC